UCGGAUUGUAGUCUGCAACUCGACUACAUGAAGCUGGAAUCGCUAGUAAUCGCGGAUCAGAAUGCCGCGGUGAAUACGUUCCCGGGUCUUGUACACACCGCCCGUCACACCAUGGGAGUCGGAAAUGCCCGAAGCCAGUGACCCAACUGAAAGGAGGGAGCUGUCGAAGGCAGGUCUGAUAACUGGGGUGAAGUCGUAACAAGGUAAC
Molecule: ribosomal RNA, 208 nt
Filed under: uncultured bacterium
Lineage: Bacteria
Description: partial 16S ribosomal RNA
Rfam family: Bacterial small subunit ribosomal RNA
Source: RNAcentral